Ameiurus melas (black bullhead) is the source of this 69-nucleotide non-coding RNA. Lineage: Eukaryota; Metazoa; Chordata; Actinopteri; Siluriformes; Ictaluridae. The record is from the annotation of a GenBank genome assembly.
GUCCAUAUGGUCUAGCGGUUAGGGUUCCUGGUUUUCUCCCAGGUGCCGGGUUCAACUCCGGUAUGGGAA